This 75-nucleotide transfer RNA is filed under the name Halorutilus salinus. It matches the Rfam family "tRNA". Rfam says of the family: Transfer RNA (tRNA) molecules are approximately 80 nucleotides in length. Lineage: Archaea; Methanobacteriati; Methanobacteriota; Halobacteria; Halorutilales; Halorutilaceae. The record is from Rfam by way of RNAcentral.
GCGCCGAUAGCUCAGCUUGGACAGAGCGGCUGGCUUCGGACCAGCAACCCGCGGGUUCAAAUCCUGCUCGGCGCG